GAUGAACGCUGGCGGCGUGCCUAAUACAUGCAAGUCGAGCGAACAGACGAGGAGCUUGCUCCUCUGACGUUAGCGGCGGACGGGUGAGUAACACGUGGAUAACCUACCUAUAAGACUGGGAUAACUUCGGGAAACCGGAGCUAAUACCGGAUAAUAUAUUGAACCGCAUGGUUCAAUAGUGAAAGACGGUUUUGCUGUCACUUAUAGAUGGAUCCGCGCCGCAUUAGCUAGUUGGUAAGGUAAUGGCUUACCAAGGCAACGAUGCGUAGCCGACCUGAGAGAGUGAACGGCCACAUUGGAACUGAAACACGGUCCAGACUCCUACGGGAGGCAGCAGUAGGGAAUCUUCCGCAAUGGGCGAAAGCCUGACGGAGCAACGACGCGUGAGUGAUGAAGGUCUUCGGAUCGUAAAACUCUGUUAUUAGGGAAGAACAAAUGUGGAAGUAACUAUGCACGUCUUGACGGUACCUAAUCAGAAAGCCACGGCUAACUACGUG
This 497-nucleotide ribosomal RNA is filed under the name uncultured bacterium. RNAcentral's name for it is "partial 16S ribosomal RNA". It matches the Rfam family "Bacterial small subunit ribosomal RNA", at positions 28 to 507 of the family's 1533-position model. The record is from RNAcentral.